RNAcentral lists this transfer-messenger RNA (348 nucleotides) under Oscillospiraceae. RNAcentral's name for it is "JAAWCD01 sp022793095 Standard tmRNA". It matches the Rfam family "transfer-messenger RNA". Rfam says of the family: Bacterial tmRNA, also known as 10Sa RNA or SsrA, is named for its dual tRNA and mRNA-like properties. Its role is to liberate the mRNA from a stalled ribosome. To accomplish this part of the tmRNA is used as a reading frame that ends in a translation stop signal. RNAcentral also lists the same sequence under 1 other name. Lineage: Bacteria; Bacillati; Bacillota; Clostridia; Eubacteriales. The record is from RNAcentral.
GGGGGCGUACCGGUUUCGACGGGGAUGUGGAAGCGGGAAAAGCGGGCGGUGGUGCCUGACCACCUUAAAACGGGCAACUUAUAAAUUAAAGAACAACGAUAACACUGUUCUUGCCGCUGCUUAAUUAGCGGCCGUCUGACUCGGAAGGACCACGAGCCGGGAUCAGGCGUCGUUUAGUGGUGAACGUGCGUGCACAAAGCUUUGCGUGCGCCAUGAAUGAUGAAGCUACCAAGCCCUUGAGUGUGACGGCUCACGCUUGGGUAAGGGAAUGAAAAGAACCGUCUGCGCCCGGAGAAGUUCCCGUGGAUGCGUUUUCGGACAGGGGUUCAACUCCCCUCGCCUCCACCA